CACAUGUUCAUCUAUGGGCGCACGUAUAUGUUCAAUCUAUAUCUCUUGUCUCUACUACUUCUUCUGGGAAAAAGAAAAAUAGAAUCUAAAAAGGAUCAUAAGGAAGGGAGAAGGAGGAGUGAGUGAAACCUUAUGGUGAGUCAAAGCCCUGUCCAGUUUGAAAUCUCAGCAGAGUGACAAACAUUGAGAGCUGUCAAAGAGCAAUUCCAGUCUCAUCACAACAUUUAAAGCUUUUGGAAUGCAUCGGUUUUGGAAGUAGUCCUCAGGAGUUGUUGCUCUGGAAUA
Molecule: long non-coding RNA, 285 nt
Organism: Gorilla gorilla gorilla (western lowland gorilla)
Lineage: Eukaryota; Metazoa; Chordata; Mammalia; Primates; Hominidae
Exons: 3
Source: RefSeq, a predicted model, not a curated record